UGGGGAAUAUUGGACAAUGGGGGCAACCCUGAUCCAGCGAUGCCGCGUGAGUGAAGAAGGCCUUCGGGUCGUAAAGCUCUUUAGGUUGGGAAGAAGGUUAGUUGAGGAAAUGCGAUUAAUUUGACGGUACCGACAGAAUAAGCACCGGCAAACUCUGUGCCAGCAGCCGCGGUAAUACAGAGGGUGCGAGCGUUAAUCGGAGUUACUGGGCGUAAAGGGCGCGUAGGCGGAGAUAUGUGUGUGAUGUGAAAGCCCCGGGCUUAACCUGGGAAGUGCAUCGCAAACUGUAUUUCUAGAGUAGAUGAGAGGGUGAUGGAAUUUCCGGUGUAGCGGUGAAAUGCGUAGAGAUCGGAAGGAACGUCAAUGGCGAAGGCAGUCACCUGGCAUCAUACUGACGCUGAGGCGCGAAAGCGUGGGGAGCGAACAGGAUUAGAUACCCCCGUAGUCC
This 448-nucleotide ribosomal RNA is filed under the name uncultured bacterium. RNAcentral's name for it is "bacterial SSU rRNA". It matches the Rfam family "Bacterial small subunit ribosomal RNA", at positions 355 to 796 of the family's 1533-position model. The record is from RNAcentral.